AGAAUUUGAUCUGGUUCAGGAUGAACGCUAGCUACAAGGCUUAACACAUGCAAGUCGAGGGGCAUCAGGGAGAAAGCUUGCUUCUUGCUGGCGACCGGCGCACGGGUGAGUAACGCGUAUCCAACCUUCCCCCCAGUAGGGCAUAGCCCGGCGAAAGUCGGAUUAAUACCCUAUGUUUUCCAAUGAGGACAUCUGAGCUGGAACAAAGAUUUAUCGCUGGGGGAUGGGGAUGCGUCCGAUUAGGUUGUUGGCGGGGUAACGGCCCACCAAGCCCGCGAUCGGUAGGGGUUCUGAGAGGAAGGUCCCCCACACUGGUACUGAGACACGGACCAGACUCCUACGGGAGGCAGCAGUGAGGAAUAUUGGUCAAUGGGCGUAAGCCUGAACCAGCCAAGUAGCGUGCAGGACGACGGCCCUAUGGGUUGUAAACUGCUUUUAUGCGGGGAUAAAGUGAGGUAUGUAUACCUUUUUGUAGGUACCGCAUGAAUAAGGACCGGCUAAUUCCGUGCCAGCCGCUGC
RNAcentral lists this ribosomal RNA (519 nucleotides) under uncultured bacterium. RNAcentral's name for it is "bacterial SSU rRNA". It matches the Rfam family "Bacterial small subunit ribosomal RNA", at positions 8 to 518 of the family's 1533-position model. The record is from RNAcentral.